AUUGAACGCUGGCGGAAUGCUUUACACAUGCAAGUCGAACGGCAGCACGGACUUCGGUCUGGUGGCGAGUGGCGAACGGGUGAGUAAUGUAUCGGAACGUGCCCAGUCGUGGGGGAUAACGUAGUGAAAAUUACGCUAAUACCGCAUACGAUCUAUGGAUGAAAGCGGGGGAUCGCAAGACCUCGCGCGAUUGGAGCGGCCGAUAUCAGAUUAGGUAGUUGGUGGGGUAAAGGCCACCAAGCCAACGAUCUGUAGCUGGUCUGAGAGGACGACCAGCCACACUGGAACUGAGACACGGUCCAGACUCCUACGGGAGGCAGCAGUGGGGAAUUAUGGACAAUGGGCGAAAGCCUGAUCCAGCCAUUCCGCGUGCAGGAUGAAGGCCCUCGGGUUGUAAACUGCUUUUGUACAGAACGAAAAGGUUUCUACUAAUACUAGGAGCUCAUGACGGUACUGUAAGAAUAAGCACCGGCUAACUACGUGCCAGCCGCCGCGGUAA
RNAcentral lists this ribosomal RNA (499 nucleotides) under uncultured bacterium. RNAcentral describes it as "partial 16S ribosomal RNA". It matches the Rfam family "Bacterial small subunit ribosomal RNA", at positions 30 to 523 of the family's 1533-position model. The record is from RNAcentral.